Molecule: microRNA, 21 nt
Filed under: Physcomitrium patens
Lineage: Eukaryota; Viridiplantae; Streptophyta; Bryopsida; Funariales; Funariaceae
Description: ppt-miR1042-5p
Source: miRBase by way of RNAcentral
GCUGUGCAGGAACUAGAUAGG